UACGAAGGGGGCUAGCGUUGCUCGGAAUCACUGGGCGUAAAGCGCACGUAGGCGGACUUUUUAAGUCAGGGGUGAAAUCCUGGAGCUCAACUCCAGAACUGCCUUUGAUACUGGAAGUCUUGAGUUCGAGAGAGGUGAGUGGAACUGCGAGUGUAGAGGUGAAAUUCGUAGAUAUUCGCAAGAACACCAGUGGCGAAGGCGGCUCACUGGCUCGAUACUGACGCUGAGGUGCGAAAGCGUGGGGAGCAAACAGG
Molecule: ribosomal RNA, 254 nt
Filed under: uncultured bacterium
Lineage: Bacteria
Description: partial 16S ribosomal RNA
Rfam family: Bacterial small subunit ribosomal RNA
Source: RNAcentral